GACGAACGCUGGCGGCGUGCCUAAUACAUGCAAGUUGAGCGCUGAAGGUUGGUACUUGUACCAACUGGAUGAGCAGCGAACGGGUGAGUAACGCGUGGGGAAUCUGCCUUUGAGCGGGGGACAACAUUUGGAAACGAAUGCUAAUACCGCAUAAAAACUUUAAACACAAGUUUUAAGUUUGAAAGAUGCAAUUGCAUCACUCAAAGAUGAUCCCGCGUUGUAUUAGCUAGUUGGUGAGGUAAAGGCUCACCAAGGCGAUGAUACAUAGCCGACCUGAGAGGGGGGUCGGCCGAAAUGGGACGGGGAAACGGCCCAAACGCCUAGGGGAGGCGGCAGGAGGGAAUCUUCGGCAAUGGAGGGAAGUCUGACCGAGCAACGCCGCGGGAGUGAAGAAGGUUUUCGGAUCGUAAAACUCUGUUGGUGGGGAAGAACGUUGGUGAGAGUGGAAAGCUCAUCAAGUGACGGUAACUACCCAGAAAGGGACGGCUAACUACGUG
RNAcentral lists this ribosomal RNA (497 nucleotides) under uncultured bacterium. RNAcentral describes it as "partial 16S ribosomal RNA". It matches the Rfam family "Bacterial small subunit ribosomal RNA", at positions 28 to 507 of the family's 1533-position model. The record is from RNAcentral.